GAUGAACGCUGGCGGCGUGCCUAAUACAUGCAAGUCGAGCGAACGGACGAGAAGCUUGCUUUUCUGAUGUUAGCGGCGGACGGGUGAGUAACACGUGGAUAACCUACCUAUAAGACUGGGAUAACUUCGGGAAACCGGAGCUAAUACCGGAUAAUAUUUUGAACCGCAUGGUUCAAAAGUGAAAGACGGUCUUGCUGUCACUUAUAGAUGGAUCCGCGCUGCAUUAGCUAGUUGGUAAGGUAACGGCUUACCAAGGCAACGAUGCAUAGCCGACCUGAGAGGGUGAUCGGCCACACUGGAACUGAGACACGGUCCAGACUCCUACGGGAGGCAGCAGUAGGGAAUCUUCCGCAAUGGGCGAAAGCCUGACGGAGCAACGCCGCGUGAGUGAUGAGGGUCUUCGGAUCGUAAAACUCUGUUAUUAGGGAAGAACAUAUGUGUAAGUAACUGUGCACAUCUUGACGGUACCUAAUCAGAAAGCCGCGGCUAACUACGUG
This 497-nucleotide ribosomal RNA is filed under the name uncultured bacterium. Its description in RNAcentral is "partial 16S ribosomal RNA". It matches the Rfam family "Bacterial small subunit ribosomal RNA", at positions 28 to 507 of the family's 1533-position model. The record is from RNAcentral.